UAAUUUUAUAUUUGUGAGAGAGUCGGUUCCGAAUUUUCCCUCAUCUACCUCAGGAUCGUCAUUUGGGGAGCACUAAGAAAAGACCGCCCCUGUCUUAAAUCUCUGGCUCCAAAGGAGAAAGUCACAUGCCAACAAUGCCCUAGAUCUGAGAGCGUUGCUAAGCCAUUGUUCUCACAGGUGUUGUUUGCUGUGUGCUACACUGAGCCCAAGGAGAAGAAGAAGGGGCCGUCGCAGACAUUUCUUCACAGAAAUCCUUUCUUUCGGAUUUCUGCGUCUUCUGGAGCCCAGAGGCCUCAGAAGAGAAGCGACCCACUCAGGACGCUGUAAUAAGGGGGCACCGUGCCCUUUGUGCAACAACAGCCUUGGGAGCUGUCCCACCUCUCGGCCUGGCUGGACUUCUCCUGAGUUUCAGGUGGUCCCCCCACAGAAGACCCUCACCUGUUUCACAACCACUGUGACAGACAGACUGGGAUGUAAGGAGCCUCUCCAUCAAGGACUGAGACAUGGAACCCCCAUGUGAAAAGGCCCCUCUGCUCCUUCCAAGGACCGGGACUGAAACCCCCAGCCCGGGGCAGGUGUGUGGGGGAGGCAAGCUGACCAAAGCAAGAUGUUUGCCUGCAGGUUGUGACCGCUGGACCAAGAAGACAAUGGCUCUCCUUUACUGCUGAGAGCAUGGACUACCUGUUACAUCUGUUCCUUAUUGUAUCUGUAUCGCCCCCUCGCAAUUUCCAAUAGAGUUAUCAUAAUAAAAACCUCUGAGUUAGAGAGAGACUUUGAGAUCUCCCCGACGCAACAGGCGGGCCCUCGACUGGACUGGACCAAAGGACUUCGUCUCUACGUUUGGCAGCCCUAUUCCCUCUCUUCCUCUGUCUUUUUCUCUCCCUUAAUCCCUCUAUCGCAUUUUGCUGUGGUCAUUCAAUAAAGGUGCAUUUGUUUCGAUUAUCAUUGCAA
Molecule: long non-coding RNA, 951 nt
Organism: Melospiza melodia melodia
Lineage: Eukaryota; Metazoa; Chordata; Aves; Passeriformes; Passerellidae
Exons: 2
Source: RefSeq, a predicted model, not a curated record